AAAAUGAGAGUUUGAUCCUGGCUCAGGACGAACGCUGGCGGCGUGCCUAAUACAUGCAAGUCGAGCGAGCUUGCCUAUAGAAAUUCUUCGGAAUGGACAUAGAUACAAGCUAGCGGCGGAUGGGUGAGUAACGCGUGGGUAACCUGCCCUUAAGUCUGGGAUACCAUUUGGAAACAGAUGCUAAUACCGGAUAAAAGCUACUUUCGCAUGAAAGAAGUUUAAAAGGCGGCGUAAGCUGUCGCUAAAGGAUGGACCUGCGAUGCAUUAGCUAGCUGGUAAGGUAACGGCUUACCAAGGCGAUGAUGCAUAGCCGAGU
Molecule: ribosomal RNA, 316 nt
Filed under: Lactobacillus jensenii MD IIE-70(2)
Lineage: Bacteria; Bacillati; Bacillota; Bacilli; Lactobacillales; Lactobacillaceae
Description: bacterial SSU rRNA
Rfam family: Bacterial small subunit ribosomal RNA
Source: RNAcentral